Molecule: long non-coding RNA, 2567 nt
Organism: Solenopsis invicta (red fire ant)
Lineage: Eukaryota; Metazoa; Arthropoda; Insecta; Hymenoptera; Formicidae
Exons: 7
Source: RefSeq, a predicted model, not a curated record
AGUCUCCGCUUUGAAUUGAUUUGAAAAACCGAUUUUUUUGAAAAAAUCAGCCAUCCCUAGUAUGUAGUGCCGCGUGAUACUGUCAUAAGAACUAAAUCAAAAAGAAUUUUAUUUUCGUUGAUCUCGUCAUAUAUUACAAAAUUAGUUAGUCCGGUGUCAAUAAAAGAAUGCGAUACAACAAAGAGUGGUGUCCAGUCAAGAUUGAUAAGGCGUUUUCAGAAUCAAAAAACGUCUUACCUCGUAUGAUGGGAAUAUGUUAUUUAUUUGCUGGAAUUGAUUUCUACGACCUUGGAAGUCAUAAUUCAUAAAGGUGCGAUUUCACGAACCGCUCGAAUCAGCCGUUUCGAGCGAGAAAUUUGUCGCUCUUACUUUAGCGGCUAAAAUUUUUGUAGAUGGAACAGUUCCAACUACAAGCGUUUGACGCUGAAACGCUCUGCGAUGUGAACAGUGCUACCGCGAAGUCGAUAUCGCAAUACAUAACCUUCAUUUCGGUUUGUUUCUUUAAUAAGCGUCAUGUAACCUAAGAUCCGAAUUCAUAGUCGUUUCUUAAUUUCAGAAUAAGUUUGAGAACGUUUAUGAAUUCGGAUCUAUACAACAGAUUCACAACGCUUUUUUUUUUAAAGUUAGUUGGAAACCAUUCGUCGAACAUGUAUCAUUUGGAAAAACCUUUACAACAAUCUACAAACGAAAAUGUAGAAAUAAAUAUAGUUGCAACUUGUGGGUUAUGUGAAACCAUAUGCGACAUGAAUGAGCAGAUGGAACUAUAUUAAGGCGUAGUUUAGUUAACGAUUCAGAAAUUAUAGUUCAAGAAGAUUUGGAAUCAACGAAUAAAAGAAAAAACAUAAGAAAAAAGUUAAAUAUCGCAGAAAAGGAGAAUUUGCUGCAAAUCGAGGAACAAUUAAUUUUAGAAGUUCAUGCACGCGAAGCUUUGUGGAAUUCACAAAUUGAUUUAUCUUGUCGCAUCAGAAAAGCGGUUGCACAAUUAUGGAAAGAAGUUUCCGAAGCCUUAAAUGGCAAACUGUCAGAUAUCGAGGCUAAAACCAAGUUCAAAUCACUGCAUGAUACAUACAGAAGAAUUAUUAGUAGUGAAUCAUUAGCGAGUGGAUCCGAAAGACCCGCUAAGAAAAGCAAGUGGCAACAUUACGAUAAUUUAUCAUUUUUGCGUGAUUCUUGUUUGCAAAAAACAACCAAAUCAAAUGUGUCAAUAAACACGGAAGAUUCAACAGAUACUAAUUUUGAAGAUGCAGAAGAAUCAAUUGACAUUACUAUUGAAGAUUGGAAACAAAAUAGAUAGCAAAAACGCAAUAGGAAAGGCAAGAAUAAAAAGGGAGACAAUUCUACAGCAAUUAAUAGAAUUGCUGAUGCUUUUUGCCAAAGAAAUAUGCAGCCACCGAUUACUUUGCCUGCUCCUCCACAAGACGAUGAUGUGGACGCAAUUGUGUCUGUAGUUGAGAGACGAUUAAGGAAACUUCCACCACAAGUGUUAGAUGAUGCAGCACAAAGAAUUUUUCAGUUUACUUACGAUCUCGUAAAAGAUUUAUCAAAUACUUAGUAAUUAUUACUUAAAGUUUUUGUUUUGAAAAGUUUAAAGCACAAAGUUUUAUUUAAUGUUUGUUUUUAAAUGCUUUAAUUAUGUUAAGCAUGUCUUAUUUUAUACUUUUGUACUUUAUACUAUUAAAUUACGAGUUAUAUACGAGUUAUGUAUUACAAGAAUAAAAAGUUGGUAUUUAAAAAAACUAAACGUUUUAUCGAAGUCAUUUAUUUUAACAUUUAUAGAAAAUGAAUAAUAUAAAAAGAAUAUGAAACAUACAUUUGGGUCUACAUAGAAUCUUUUUUUUUUAUAAAAUAAGCUAAUAAAAUAAAAACUAAUUAAAAAUGAACUAAGAAAAUCCUAUUAAAUUUUUUAUAUGUACUAACAAAUUACUUUGUGUAUUUUACAAUUAAACAUAAUCAUCUUGCCAUGGUACAGAUCCGUCAUUAUUAAAAUAUUCGCUAAAAUUUUCUCGCACUUCCAUACUUUUCUGAGUACUCAUAUAUGCCCCUGCUCUUUGUACCUCACGAUAAGCAGAACCGUUUUCAACAACCAUUCUCCAAGAACCAGGUGUAAAACCAUUAGGACCAUCAUGAUCGAUCAUACUUGUAUUCAUUUUUGUUUAUGUCCUGUUUUCGUAACCAAUUAUGCAAACACACAAUGCUUUGCACAAUUCUUUCAACAGUUUCUACUUUGCCAAUUAUUGGCUUUCUCAGUAUUCGCCAUUGACAGGCAAGAAUACCAAAUGUAUUUUCAAUCACUCGUCUGGCACGACUUAGUCGAUAAUUGAAUAUAUUUUUUUCUUUAGUCAGCCCGCCCCUUCCUGAGUAUGGUCGAAGCAAAUAUUCUUUUAAAGGAAAUGCUUCAUCUCCAACAAGGCAAUACGGCAAUUUGGGACCAUUUCUAGAAAUAUCCUCUGCUUCUGCACCGAUACAGUGAGGGAAAUCGCAUCGUUGAUCAAAGUCUGCUGCAAUAUUUUUUCAAUCUUUUUUCGAUAAAGAAGGUGGAAGGACAAUUGGGCAUAACUCAUUCCAAA